This 250-nucleotide ribosomal RNA is filed under the name uncultured bacterium. RNAcentral describes it as "partial 16S ribosomal RNA". It matches the Rfam family "Bacterial small subunit ribosomal RNA", at positions 524 to 773 of the family's 1533-position model. The record is from RNAcentral.
UACGAAGGGAGCUAGCGUUACUCGGAAUCACUGGGCGUAAAGCGUGCGCAGGCGGUCUGAGAAGUUGGAAGUGAAAGCCCAGGGCUCAACCCUGGAACUGCUUUCAAAACUCUUAGACUAGAGUGUUGGAGGGGAUAGUGGAAUUUCUAGUGUAGAGGUGGAAUUCGUAGAUACUAGAAGGAACACCAGAGGCGAAGGCGACUAUCUGGCCAAAUACUGACGCUGUUGCACGAAGGCGUGGGGAGCAAAC